Molecule: ribosomal RNA, 492 nt
Filed under: uncultured bacterium
Lineage: Bacteria
Description: partial 16S ribosomal RNA
Rfam family: Bacterial small subunit ribosomal RNA
Source: RNAcentral
AGUGAACGCUGGCGGUAGGCCUAACACAUGCAAGUCGAACGGCAGCACAGUAAGAGCUUGCUCUUACGGGUGGCGAGUGGCGGACGGGUGAGGAAUACAUCGGAAUCUACUUUUUCGUGGGGGAUAACGUAGGGAAACUUACGCUAAUACCGCAUACGACCUACGGGUGAAAGCAGGGGAUCUUCGGACCUUGCGCGAUUGAAUGAGCCGAUGUCGGAUUAGCUAGUUGGCUGGGUAAAGGCCCACCAAGGCGACGAUCCGUAGCUGGUCUGAGAGGAUGAUCAGCCACACUGGAACUGAGACACGGUACAGACUCCUACGGGAGGCAGCAGUGGGGAAUAUUGGACAAUGGGCGCAAGCCUGAUCCAGCAAUACCGCGUGGGUGAAGAAGGCCUUCGGGUUGUAAAGCCCUUUUGUUGGGAAAGAAAAGCAGCAGGUUAAUACCCCGCUGUUCUGACGGUACCCAAAGAAUAAGCACCGGCUAACUUCGUG